Grammomys surdaster is the source of this 924-nucleotide long non-coding RNA. RefSeq lists it as uncharacterized. The transcript has 2 exons. The record is from RefSeq and is a predicted model, not a curated record. Lineage: Eukaryota; Metazoa; Chordata; Mammalia; Rodentia; Muridae.
CCUUCCCGGGGAUCUCGGCGCACUGUAGUUACGAGUCCAUCGCCUGCUGGAUCUCGUCUUGCAGACGCCCCCUACCUCUCCCCAGGAUGCCUGCCAGGCGCCACAUGUCGUGGCCAGCACCAUAGAGCUUGCAGCCGAGGGAUCGAGGCCCGAAGGACAGGACAAGGACCAGAGUGGCCUCUGCGCAGUCCCCAGCGGGCCGAGUCCCCAGCUAGCCAAUCAGUAAGGAGCCCUGCCGGAAGGAUGACGCUCUAGGAAGGAAGUGGAGGAUGGGGUGGGCUUGGCGCUGGCGAGGUGAGCGAUAGAAGGACUUGAAGCGGGACCAGGGCCAAGGUGUCGUCCUCUGUCGCCAUUGUAGGAGCCUCGAGGGUGCGCGGAUCCGAAUGGUGGCUGAUUGGUGGGCCGAAUUACCCAGGGCAAGUUUUGCCACCAGGUUCAAGCUCUGGCCCGUUUUUUUUUCUCUUUACAUUUAGGCUGUAGGCAGAGGAAAUCCUUGCCAGCGGCCGGGCAAGAAUUCCAGCGCAGUUAACAGUUAAGGCCUUUUCUCCGCUUCGCAGUCACAAACGAUUGUUUCCUUAGGAAUCUCACCAGAAACACAUUUGCAGGUGAAGGACAUAUACUAAACCCCUUGUGGCGCCUGGUUUUAACUUUAUCACAUUGUAAUUCCAUCCUACGAACCACUCUGUAAGUUCACUUAACAGAGAGAGAAGCGGAGUGGUUCUUAGCAACCUUUUGCGAUGUAACUUAACCACCAGAGAGGUAUCUGGCUAACACGGCAGCUCUCGAGGAGUCCGUAUUUACACGUUGCCAGAAAGAGGGGGAAAGCGACACCAAGAAUCCAUUCCCAACGAAAAACCAAGAGGAGACGCGGCAGCUCCCAGAUGUUGAUGUUUUGUUUUUUUGACAUAAAUCUUCGCACUCAUA